Molecule: long non-coding RNA, 1882 nt
Filed under: Glycine max (soybean)
Lineage: Eukaryota; Viridiplantae; Streptophyta; Magnoliopsida; Fabales; Fabaceae
Description: long non-coding RNA (GMAX_LNC002429)
Source: RNAcentral
AUGAAUAGAGUUGAUAUACAAUCACUUAAUUUUUCAAAACACUAACACGUCUAUCAUCGAAAUUGGCAAAGGUUCGGCAAGUUAUCAUGUAUGUUAUCCAAGUUCUCAUUUCUAUGAAUUUAUGUUUGUUUAUUUUAGUGCAUAAUUCUAAACCCUUUUUUUCAAUUUUCAUUUAUUCUCAAAACUUUAUUUUUUCAAUUCUUAUUUCUUAUUAUUAUCGAAAUUACUUACAAACUAAUUUGCCUUAAAUAUUAAACAAUUCUCUAUUAACUUGAAAAAUAUGAACUUGUUUGUUCAACAAAAAAGAACUCAUAAUCAAAAAUGGACAAAGGUUCAGCAGGUUAUCAUGCUUAUCCAAGUUCUUAUUUCUAUGAAUUUAUGUCUGUUUAUUUUAUUAUACAAUUCUAAACUUUUUUUUUUCAAUUUUCAUUUAUUCUCAAAAUUUUACUUUUUCAAUCCUUAUUUCUUAUUAUUAUUAAAAUUACUUACAAACUAAUUGCUUUAAAUAUUCUCCAUUAACUUGAAAAAUAUGAACUUGUUUGUUCAACAAAAAAGAACUCAUAAUCAAAAAUGGAUUUUAUAUCUCAUUUUUAAAUAUUUAUUUGUUAAGAGAACCAUUCACUAAAAAUUCUUUUAUUAUUUUAAAAAUAUUUUUCUAAGUAAAAUUAUUUGGUGUGAUUGAUUAACUUUUAUACUUUGUUUGAAUUAAGAAUGAAAUAGAGAUGAUAGAAAUAGGAGCGAUAGAAUUAGGGAUGAAAUAAAAUGAAAAAUAUAUGUUGUUUGGAUGGAUAAAAAUGAGAAUAAAUGGAGUUGGUAAAUUUCAUAAUUUCUUAUUCAAAGUAAACAAAAAGAGAGUAGAAAGAAAUAAAUAAAUUAUAUAAAAAUAUAUUUUAUUAUAAUAAAAAGUUAAUCUAAUAAUUUUUUCUUAAUAAAAUUAUUUAUUACUUUGAAAAUAUAAAAUUAAACCUAAAAAAUGAAAAAAGAGAGAUCAUUUCUCUCCCAUUUCAUUUCAAUUUGGGGGAGAAGAGAAACGUUUUCUGGUUAGUUUUCUUGUAAGUUUCAGAUAAAUAACUUCUAUCUUUCCUAUGGUUUUUCAAACAAAUGAUAGAAAAUUAGUAUUUGGCUCCCUCUUAUAUAUAUUUCUUUACUUUAUUUCUAUCCAACAAAUAAGAAGUUAGGAAAGUGGAUGUAAUGAUAAUAUGAUAGCUAAUUAAUAAAAUAUAUAGAGUAAAUCGAUAAAAAAAAAAAAAGUGAAGAGUGUAUGAUAAAAUUAAUUCUAUAUUUUAUUCUUGCAUAACUACUUUUCGAAGCAAAUAAAGAAUGAUAUUUUUUGUUGUUUAGUGCUUUAACUUUUUGCAAAUCAUACUAACGGUAUGUGAAGUUGAAAAUAAAUUUAUACCAUUCAGAUGUUAAUAAUUGUAACUAAAAUUUGGGCCUGACAAAACCUACGUUGAAUAGAGUUUUCAAUCUUUAUUAAGCUCCACAUUUAAUCUUUAAUUGUGUGUAUCAACUCUCAAGUAAAUUCUAUUAUUGGGUCCUUAGAGGACAACAAGCUGGUUGGAGUAGACAUGGGACCAUUAAAGGUAACGGGGAUGUUGCAUUCCAUCUGGAGUUAAAUAUGACGAGCUGGGGAAUUUGCUGUAGGGAUGAUUCGGGUUGCAUCCUAAGGGCUCCAGAUUUUUCUGAACUUCCCUCCAUCAUUAGAGAGUCUAAAUAUAUACUCUCCCUUAAUCCAAACUAUUAUGUAGAGCUUGUCAAUGCCCUUCCCAUGGUAGCAACAUGAUAUAUGCAAGCCUGAGAGUUUUUUUUUUAUCAGAUUUCGAUGUGUAUUUACAAUUGCAUCAUUAAUGAAAUGAGUUGAGUUUUUUACUGUAAAAAAAAA